RNAcentral lists this long non-coding RNA (1286 nucleotides) under Fukomys damarensis (Damara mole-rat). RNAcentral describes it as "lncRNA (ENSFDAG00000023532.1)". The record is from RNAcentral. Lineage: Eukaryota; Metazoa; Chordata; Mammalia; Rodentia; Bathyergidae.
GUGCAUCAUUAAAACAUAUUUAUUUGAAAAACCAUUAGUAGAGAGUGUAAAAGUGAAAGACCCUCUGUUAGGAAGGUUAUAACCAUAUUUCCCACAUGGUGUUCAAGCAUGGACUGAAAGACCAGUGUGGUUCUUUCCAAGUUGGGAGUCGCUGACGUAAAGGACUAAAGUGUGUAUUGUGAAAGUUUAGACAAGAAACAUGUCGGUAUGGUCCAAGUGUUUAAUGGUACACAGCAUGUGGGGACCAACUGAAUCUUAACAAAAGAGUUAGAUUUACAAGGUAGGGAGGAGAAGAGGCAAGAAUGCAUUCUCAAAGUGUGAACUGAGAAGUAUGCAGUGGGGAGGGGCUUUAGAAGGUCAGGCACGGUGGGAGGAGCAGGUGGAACAGGCAGUUAGAGGCCAUUUUCAAGCCCAGGGAGAGAACAUUAGGCAGCUGGAGCUCAUGCAGGUCUGGAGGAGGAAGGGAACAAGCCACGAUGGAGAUGGCUCGCUGAAAAAGCCACAAAGUUGUGGUGAAGCCUCAUAUCAUGUUACAGCCAAAAGGGGAGAGACCUUGUUUCUGGUGACAACUGAUUACCCAGAGGAACCUGCUCUGCAGUAUAAAGGCAACCAGAGGUGUGCGAAAGUUAACAUCACCCACCAAGCUCACCACCACCGAGAGGAGUCAGUGAAUUCACACCAGAUGUCUCCACAAAGUGAAAAGCUUUCUAGGAUAAUCACCUAAGGGAACUACUGCAGAGCUGGGUGUGGUGGGACAUGCCUGCAAUCCCAGCUUCUUGAAAGACUGAGGCAGGAUUGCAAGUUUAAGACCAUAUGGGGCAACCUAGUGAGACCCUUUCCAAAAUAAAACAGGAUGUAGCUCAGUGAUCUUUGGACUCAAUCACCAACAAGGAAAAAUCAAAACAACAAUAAACUACCUCCAACUAAGUCUUAGCCUCAGGACCUGCUCUGAAUGUGCAAAAAAGAAGAAUGUGACUAAGGCCAACUCUCCUGCUAUGAAAGGGCUCCAUGAAAGAACUGAAUAGUUACAGAGAUAACACUUGUGUUCAACAAGUCUCACCUGAUACGAAAGAGCAAGAAGAGAAGAUGCAGGCCUUUAUUAUUUCAAUUCUGCUAUACGAUGUGAUACCCAAUGCUCCUGGACAUAAGAUAAUCAGAUUCUUAUAAGUCUCUUGGAAUACAUUUUAAAAAUUCAAAGUGCAUUUGCUUUCUUUGUGGGAUUUUGAUAUAGUAUAUGUAACUUUCUGUGAGAAAUGCUACCUAUGUGCUUAUCAUUUAGAAAACAU